RNAcentral lists this small RNA (169 nucleotides) under Citrobacter youngae ATCC 29220. RNAcentral describes it as "RtT RNA". The stretch from base 38 to 169 matches the Rfam family "RtT RNA". Rfam says of the family: This family represents a bacterial cis-regulatory element known as RtT RNA. The exact function of RtT is unknown although it is thought that it may be involved in changing the cellular response in relation to amino acid starvation. Lineage: Bacteria; Pseudomonadati; Pseudomonadota; Gammaproteobacteria; Enterobacterales; Enterobacteriaceae. The record is from RNAcentral.
CAUAAAGCACCGCACCCAAUUAAUCUUCAAUGCCUCAUAUUCUGCCCGUACGGGAAGGAUGAGAAGCUUCGACUAAGGUUCGAUUCGAGCGUCAGCGAGAAAGCGUUGCCGCAGGCAACGACCCGAAGGGCGAAGCGCGCAGCGCUGAGUAAUCCUUCCCCCACCACCA